This 85-nucleotide transfer RNA is filed under the name Deltaproteobacteria bacterium. RNAcentral describes it as "tRNA-Leu". It matches the Rfam family "tRNA". From Rfam's summary of the family: Transfer RNA (tRNA) molecules are approximately 80 nucleotides in length. Their secondary structure includes four short double-helical elements and three loops (D, anti-codon, and T loops). Lineage: Bacteria; Pseudomonadati; Myxococcota; Myxococcia. The record is from RNAcentral.
GCGAGAGUGGCGGAAUUGGUAGACGCACCGGCCUUAGGAGCCGGCGGUUUAGGCCAUAGGGGUUCAACUCCCCUCUCUCGCACCA